GAUGAACGCUGGCGGCGUGCCUAAUAUAUGCAAGUCGAGCGAACAGAUGAGGAGCUUGCUCCUCUGACGUUAGCGGCGGACGGGUGAGUAACACGUGGAUAACCUACCUAUAAGACUGGGAUAACUUCGGGAAACCGGAGCUAAUACCGGAUAAUAUAUUGAACCGCAUGGUUCAAUAGUGAAAGACGGUUUUGCUGUCACUUAUAGAUGGAUCCGCGCCGCAUUAGCUAGUUGGUAAGGUAACGGCUUACCAAGGCAACGAUGCGUAGCCGACCUGAGAGGGUGAUCGGCCACACUGGAACUGAGACACGGUCCAGACUCCUACGGGAGGCAGCAGUAGGGAAUCUUCCGCAAUGGGCGAAAGCUUGACGGAGCAACGCCGCGUGAGCGAUGAAGGUCUUCGGAUCGUAAAACUCUGUUAUUAGGGAAGAACAAAUGUGUAAGUAACUAUGCACGUCUUGACGGUACCUAAUCAGAAAGCCACGGCUAACUACGUG
This 497-nucleotide ribosomal RNA is filed under the name uncultured bacterium. RNAcentral's name for it is "partial 16S ribosomal RNA". It matches the Rfam family "Bacterial small subunit ribosomal RNA", at positions 28 to 507 of the family's 1533-position model. The record is from RNAcentral.